Xenopus laevis (African clawed frog) is the source of this 967-nucleotide long non-coding RNA. RefSeq lists it as uncharacterized. NCBI's taxonomy places the organism in Eukaryota, Metazoa, Chordata, Amphibia, Anura, Pipidae. The record is from RefSeq and is a predicted model, not a curated record. The transcript is spliced from 3 exons.
UCGGACUGGACCCGCUCCCUGCACUUCUUCAUGUCGCGACCUCCCUUCUUCGGGUCAGUUACAGCAAAAACACAGUGCGCGCUGUUUAUUGAUCACACCAGUCAAACCAAAGAUAACUAGGAUAAUGAAGACUGCCCAGUCUAGAAUAGCUCGUUGCUAGAAUACCUGCAUUACAGAAACCAGCUAAUGGAGAACAUCUAUUUCUUGGAACUGGAAAGCAAACACUGGCUCUGCAAUACUGGAACAGAUCGCCGUGACAGACAGGUGAGUACGGCUCAUCCAACUCAGCAGAAACCUAAGUUUGCUCAUAGCCUGUACAGAGAGAUCCCAUUAAAGUAUGGCAACAUAGGUACCGUAUCCCCUGUACUCAGCACAAUUCAGCAGGAACAGCCCACUAAGUCAGUGGGAUGUGGGCAGCCCUUUAUAAUACUGAUCAAGCUCCAAUCCUUUCUGUACAAUGUAAGGAGAAAAGCCCAGAAGCAGGAAGCCCAUGGAUUAUCAGUAAAUUCUGAGUAGCAAGCUGUUGUUGCACUACAGUUCCCAAACAAUUGAGUAAUAGUUCCAGCACAGAGACCAAUCCCAGGGUCCAGAAUCACUUUCCUUUCUAGGAAAUCUGUGAUCGUCUCUGUUCCAGUCUCCAUCUCCAGACCCCUCCGCUACAUAGCUCUGUAAGUAUUUUCAGCGGGGGACAAUGCCUUGUCCUUGGAAUGGGGUCACGCUCUAGCAAUUAUUCCCUCUUGCACCCUCUCCCUCUCUGUGAAGUGACUACGGAGAAAAAAUAGCAAAAUAACCUUCGUCCCAUGUACAUUUUUGUCAGACGAUUAUGUUUUCCAAAGUCAUGAGCACAAACGGUUCCUGGGUAUUGAACUGCCCUGGGAAAUAGGGGAGGCGAGAGCUGCAAAUCAGGACUAGGGGUAGGCAGAAGAAUCUUGAACAAGUACCUGCCCAGCACCCCCACAUUGUUGCG